AUGGCUCGCACGGCUGCCCUACAUUCAGUAACAGCACCGACUGUACACAUCCAUCCAUCCUUCUGCCUGUACAACAAUGAGUGGAGUUAUUUUUUUUGCCUCCAGAUGUUUAUGCCUGUCAUCGGUAAUUUUUUGGGACUCCAACCUGUGUGCUCUGCAACAAUGGCUAUUAGGGCAUCUCCAAAGCUUGCUGCAUGCCGAUUCAUUUGGCGGAAAUCUGGCUACACGCCUAGUUCACGCCUAGUUCAUAUGGUGGAAGGCUUGAUGCUAGCAUUUGUACAUGUGAUUUAG
Molecule: ribosomal RNA, 291 nt
Filed under: Triticum aestivum (bread wheat)
Lineage: Eukaryota; Viridiplantae; Streptophyta; Magnoliopsida; Poales; Poaceae
Description: partial small subunit ribosomal RNA
Source: RNAcentral